This 352-nucleotide ribosomal RNA is filed under the name Lactiplantibacillus plantarum. RNAcentral describes it as "bacterial LSU rRNA". It matches the Rfam family "Bacterial large subunit ribosomal RNA", at positions 2576 to 2925 of the family's 2925-position model. The record is from RNAcentral. Lineage: Bacteria; Bacillati; Bacillota; Bacilli; Lactobacillales; Lactobacillaceae.
GCUGUUCGCCCAUUAAAGCGGUACGCGAGCUGGGUUCAGAACGUCGUGAGACAGUUCGGUCCCUAUCCGUCGCGGGCGUAGGAAAUUUGAGAGGACCUGUCCUUAGUACGAGAGGACCGGGAUGGACAUACCUCUGGUGUACCAGUUGUGCCGCCAGGCGCAUCGCUGGGUAGCUACGUAUGGAUGUGAUAAACGCUGAAAGCAUCUAAGUGUGAAACACACCUCGAGAUGAGAUUUCCCAUUCCUUUAUGGAAGUAAGACCCCUGAAAGAUGAUCAGGUAGAUAGGUUAGAAGUGGCAGUGCGGUGACGCAUGAAGCGGACUAAUACUAAUCGGUCGAGGACUUAACCAAG